This 787-nucleotide ribosomal RNA is filed under the name uncultured bacterium. RNAcentral's name for it is "bacterial SSU rRNA". It matches the Rfam family "Bacterial small subunit ribosomal RNA", at positions 8 to 796 of the family's 1533-position model. The record is from RNAcentral.
AGAGUUUGAUCCUGGCUCAGAGCGAACACUGGCGGCGUGCUUAACACAUGCAAGUCGAACGGAAAGGCCCUUUCGGGGGUACUCGAGUGGCGAACGGGUGAGUAACACGUGGGUGAUCUGCCCUGCACUUCGGGAUAAGCUUGGGAAACUGGGUCUAAUACCGGAUAGGACCAUGCCAUGCAUGUGGUGUGGUGGAAAGCUUUUGCGGUGUGGGAUGGGCCCGCGGCCUAUCAGCUUGUUGGUGGGGUGAUGGCCUACCAAGGCGACGACGGGUAGCCGGCCUGAGAGGGUGUCCGGCCACACUGGGACUGAGAUACGGCCCAGACUCCUACGGGAGGCAGCAGUGGGGAAUAUUGCACAAUGGGCGCAAGCCUGAUGCAGCGACGCCGCGUGGGGGAUGACGGCCUUCGGGUUGUAAACCUCUUUCACCAUCGGCGAAGCCCAUGAUUUUUGUUGUGGGUGACGGUAGGUGGAGAAGAAGCACCGGCCAACUACGUGCCAGCAGCCGCGGUAAUACGUAGGGUGCGAGCGUUGUCCGGAAUUACUGGGCGUAAAGAGCUCGUAGGUGGUUUGUCGCGUUGUCCGUGAAAUUCCCUGGCUUAACUGGGGGCGUGCGGGCGAUACGGGCAGACUGGAGUACUGCAGGGGAGACUGGAAUUCCUGGUGUAGCGGUGGAAUGCGCAGAUAUCAGGAGGAACACCGGUGGCGAAGGCGGGUCUCUGGGCAGUAACUGACGCUGAGGAGCGAAAGCGUGGGGAGCGAACAGGAUUAGAUACCCUGGUAGUCC